RNAcentral lists this ribosomal RNA (1047 nucleotides) under Arthrobacter citreus. Its description in RNAcentral is "bacterial SSU rRNA". It matches the Rfam family "Bacterial small subunit ribosomal RNA", at positions 65 to 1122 of the family's 1533-position model. Lineage: Bacteria; Bacillati; Actinomycetota; Actinomycetes; Micrococcales; Micrococcaceae. The record is from RNAcentral.
AACGAUGACUUUUGUGCUUGCCAAAAUGAUUAGUGGCGAACGGGUGAGUAACACGUGAGUAACCUGCCCUUAACUUCGGGAUAAGCCUGGGAAACCGGGUCUAAUACCGGAUACGACGGACCACCGCAUGGCGGUCCGUGGAAAGCUUGAUGCGGUUUUGGAUGGACUCGCGGCCUAUCAGCUAGUUGGUUGGGGUAAUGGCCCACCAAGGCGACGACGGGUAGCCGGCCUGAGAGGGUGACCGGCCACACUGGGACUGAGACACGGCCCAGACUCCUACGGGAGGCAGCAGUGGGGAAUAUUGCACAAUGGGCGAAAGCCUGAUGCAGCGACGCCGCGUGAGGGACGAAGGCCUUCGGGUUGUAAACCUCUUUCAGCAGGGAAGAAGCGAAAGUGACGGUACCUGCAGAAGAAGCGCCGGCUAACUACGUGCCAGCAGCCGCGGUAAUACGUAGGGCGCAAGCGUUAUCCGGAAUUAUUGGGCGUAAAGAGCUCGUAGGCGGUUUGUCGCGUCUGCUGUGAAAGCCCGGGGCUCAACCCCGGGUCUGCAGUGGGUACGGGCAGACUAGAGUGCAGUAGGGGAGACUGGAAUUCCUGGUGUAGCGGUGAAAUGCGCAGAUAUCAGGAGGAACACCGAUGGCGAAGGCAGGUCUCUGGGCUGUAACUGACGCUGAGGAGCGAAAGCAUGGGGAGCGAACAGGAUUAGAUACCCUGGUAGUCCAUGCCGUAAACGUUGGGCACUAGGUGUGGGGGACAUUCCACGUUUUCCGCGCCGUAGCUAACGCAUUAAGUGCCCCGCCUGGGGAGUACGGCCGCAAGGCUAAAACUCAAAGGAAUUGACGGGGGCCCGCACAAGCGGCGGAGCAUGCGGAUUAAUUCGAUGCAACGCGAAGAACCUUACCAAGGCUUGACAUGAACCGGAAAGGCCUGGAAACAGGUCCCCCACUUGUGGCCGGUUUACAGGUGGUGCAUGGUUGUCGUCAGCUCGUGUCGUGAGAUGUUGGGUUAGUCCCCCAACGAGCGCAACCUUCGUUCUAUGUUGCCAGC